Long non-coding RNA from Salarias fasciatus (jewelled blenny), 281 nucleotides. RefSeq lists it as uncharacterized. NCBI's taxonomy places the organism in Eukaryota, Metazoa, Chordata, Actinopteri, Blenniiformes, Blenniidae. The record is from RefSeq and is a predicted model, not a curated record. The transcript is spliced from 4 exons.
CCUCACAUGGAAAAGAGUCUGAAGAAGAUGUGAAGAGAGUUCAGGUGUGUGUUCUGCCAUGGAUCAGUGUGAGGACAGAGAGGAGGGAGUCCCUCCCUCUAAAAGGACUCUGUGUGGAGAACAUGAGAACCAGACCACAGCUCAGAGGUCAGAGCCUGAAGUUGAACCCAGCUGUGUGUCCCUGAAGAGUGACCGGUCCAAGGACUUCUUGAUACAAUUCAGAACACACUCUGACUCUGAGUUUCCAUCCAGCUGUGUGUCCCUGAAGAGUGACGGGUCCA